This 502-nucleotide ribosomal RNA is filed under the name uncultured bacterium. Its description in RNAcentral is "partial 16S ribosomal RNA". It matches the Rfam family "Bacterial small subunit ribosomal RNA", at positions 29 to 523 of the family's 1533-position model. The record is from RNAcentral.
AACGAACGCUGGCGGCACGUUCUAAGCAUGCAAGUCGAAUGGCAGCAGGGGCAACUCUGUGAGAAUGGCGAACGGGUGAGUAACACGUAGGUGAUCUGCCUUGAGGAUGGGGAUAGCCUGUGGAAACACAGGGUAAUACCGAAUGAGCUGACGAGACUUUGGUUUUGUUAGUAAAGGUGCUACGGCACCGCCUUGAGAGGAGCCUGCGGCUGAUUAGCUAGUUGGUGGGGUAAGAGCUUACCAAGGCGACGAUCAGUAGCCGGCCUGAGAGGGUGUACGGCCACACUGGAACUGAGACACGGUCCAGACUCCUACGGGAGGCAGCAGCUAAGAAUCUUCCGCAAUGGGCGAAAGCCUGACGGAGCGAUGCCGCGUGAUCGAUGAAGGUCGAGAGAUUGUAAGAUCUUUUCUACAUGAGGAAUAAGUCUGGGAGGGAAUGCCCGGAUGAUGACGUUAGUGUAGGAAUAAGCCCCGGCUAAUUACGUGCCAGCCGCCGCAGUAA